ACACUCCUGCGGGAAGCAGCAGUGGGGAAUAUUGGACAAUGGGCGCAAGCCUGAUCCAGCCAUGCCGCGUGAGUGAUGAAGGCCCUAGGGUUGUAAAGCUCUUUCACCGGUGAAGAUAAUGACGGUAACCGGAGAAGAAGCCCCGGCUAACUUCGUGCCAGCAGCCGCGGUAAUACGAAGGGGGCUAGCGUUGUUCGGAUUUACUGGGCGUAAAGCGCACGUAGGCGGACUAUUAAGUCAGGGGUGAAAUCCCGGGGCUCAACCCCGGAACUGCCUUUGAUACUGGUAGUCUUGAGUUCGAGAGAGGUGAGUGGAAUUCCGAGUGUAGAGGUGAAAUUCGUAGAUAUUCGGAGGAACACCAGUGGCGAAGGCGGCUCACUGGCUCGAUACUGACGCUGAGGUGCGAAAGCGUGGGGAGCAAACAGGAUUAGAAACCCUGUAGUCC
Molecule: ribosomal RNA, 445 nt
Filed under: uncultured organism
Description: partial 16S ribosomal RNA
Rfam family: Bacterial small subunit ribosomal RNA
Source: RNAcentral